UCUCAAACUCCUGAACUCGGGUGAUCUGCCUGCCUCAGCCUCCCAAAGUGCUGGGAUCACAGUGUGAACAGCCCUUCCAGAGCCUUCCAAGUCUUGGAAACCCUGGAGAGAAGCUACGGGGAUCUUUGGGGAGCAGCGGGUUCCUUCGUGAUGAUCCUCCACUGCCUCAGGUUAUCAAACAAAUCCCCAUCCUGAGACCAGGUUAUUUUCACGUGCUGGCUCCUGUAGCCUGGGUAGGGAGACCCCCAGGCACACUUUGGGGGGUCUACCUGAAGGGUCUAGAGGGAAGACCUCUCAUUCAGCAGAAGUGAGCCCAGGCCCCUCAGCAGAAGUGAGCCCAGGCCCUGCAGCCUCUCCCGGAGAACUUGGCAAGGUCCACGCGGGCUGGGUGGUGGGGAGGCUGGAAUUCUCUCCCAGGUCACCCAGAUUUCUUUGCAUAAUGUUAGCUGGUGAUGGAGUGGGGUCCUGAAAUCCGGGGGUGCUGGUGGCUUCAUCCAUACAAUGGAUCAAAUGGUCCCCCUGCACCCCCAUUUCUGUCUACGUCCUCAUCUUUAGAACCUGUGAAUGUGGUUUUCUUCGGAGAAGGAUCUUUGCAGAUGUAAUUACAUUAAGGGUGUUGAGACACGGAGAUCAUCCUGGAUUAGCCAGGGGAGCCCCAAAUCCAAUGAAAAGUGUCCUUGCAGAAAAGCAGAGGGAGAUUUGAGAAUGCAGAGAAGAGAAGACACAGAAGAGGGGCCAUGUGACCAGGGAGGCAGAGAUCGGAGUGAUGUGGGCUCAGAUUCUCCCCUAGAGACCUGGAGGGAUCAUGGCCUUGUCUGCAGCUUCCAGCCUGUGGGAUGGUGAGGUAGUACGUCCUCACUGCUUUCAGCCACCAAGUUUGUGGUGAUCUGUUACAGCAGCUUCAGUAAACACGUACAGCCUGCACAACUCGGUGCCUGGUCGCUGGUGCCAUAGUGAAGGCACAGAAGUGUCCGUCCAUCUGCGGGUCGCUGAUGCCAUAGUGAAGGCACAGAACUGUCCGUCCAUCUGCGGGUCGCUGAUGCCAUAGUGAAGGCACAGAACUGUCCAUCCAUCUGUGGAUCGCUGGCCCCACGGUGAAGGCACAGAACUGUCCAUCCAUCUGUGGGUCACUGGCACCACGGUGAAGGCACAGAACUGUCCAUCCAUCUGUGGGUUGUUGACCCCAUGGUGAAGGCACAGAACUGUCCAUCCAUCUGUGGGUCGCUGGCACCACGGUGAAGGCACAGAACUGUCCGUCCAUCUGUGGGUUGUUGACCCCAUGGUGAAGGCACAGAACUGUCCAUCCAUCUGUGGGUCGCUGGCACCACGGUGAAGGCACAGAACUGUCCAUCCAUCUGUGGGUUGUUGACCCCAUGGUGAAGGCACAGAACUGUCCAUUCAUCUGCGGGUCGCUGGCACCACGGUGAAGGCACAGAACUGUCCAUCCAUCUGCGGAUCGCUGGCCCCACGGUGAAGGCACAGAAGUGUCCAUCCAUCUGUGGGUCGCUGGUGCCAUAGUGAAGGCACAGAAGUGUCCGUCCAUCUGCGGGUCGCUGGUGCCAUAGUGAAGGCACAGAACUGUCCAUCCAUCUGCGGAUCACUGGCCCCACGGUGAAGGCACAGAAGUGUCCAUCCAUCUGUGGGUCGCUGGUGCCAUAGUGAAGGCACAGAACUGUCCAUCCAUCUGUGGGUUGUUGACCCCAUGGUGAAGGCACAGAACUGUCCAUCCAUCUGUGGGUCUCUGGCACCACGGUGAAGGCACAGAACUGUCCAUCCAUCUGUGGGUUGUUGACCCCAUGGUGAAGGCACAGAACUGUCCAUCCAUCUGUGGGUCGCUGGCACCACGGUGAAGGCACAGAACUGUCCGUCCAUUGCGGAUGCUGGUGCUGCCCUUUAUAGCCACGACCACCUCCUUGUUUCCCUCACGCCCCGUGACUGCUAACCCCUUCUCCAGUGCCAUCACUUUGUCAUUUCAAGAACGUGAUGUCAAGGGACUCAUGCCAGGUGUCCCUUUUGAACUUGGCUCUUCUCAUUCAGCACAAUUCUCAGGAGAUCCAUUCAACUUGUGGAGUGGAAUCCCAUGGUAUGGAUAUACCACCAUUUAACCACUGACCUGUUGGAGGACAUUAGGUGGUUUCCGGUUUUUGGCUAUUGCAGAUAAAGAUGCUGUGAACGCUGGCGUGCCGGAUUCGGUGUGAAUGUAAACAGGGCCAGACUGGAUGAGCCACCCAGACCCUCGGAGUCUCUUUGUAAGAGCUCUGAUUCUGAGAAGUGCGCACUGAUCCCUGUGACGGGCAGCAGGAAAGGAGAAUAACAGCGGAUUGGGGUAUGGAACAUGAAUCGGAUGAGAUGUUUAUCUCUGGUGAAUGCGUGUUGACUGGUGUGAAUCACUGCUGCCUAGGAAAAGGACUUUAAUCUCCUUCAUACCUCCUGGUAAAUUCUGCUGAUUUAGGAGGAGGAAGGAAAAUUUAGAGACAAUUGGAAAUCAACUCGGUCAGCACAACAGUGAGAAGUCAAGAUUUGAGGAGUAUUUCCAGCCUUACCAUUGACUCUCUCGGGUCACAUCAGUUAAUAAUUUCUAUUACUACUCCAAGGCCCUCAUGAGCAGCAGGAAAUGCCUCUGUCAAAAUAGCUCUGUGAAUGAGGAUCCAACCUUUGCCACCUGUACCUUUGGUCCAAUUUUAGGAAAGAAAGGCUUCGCUCUUGCGUGAAGGGAUAAAAAAGGCCCUGCUAUGCCAUUAGAGACCUGGGUUUGAGACCCACUUUAGCCCUAGCUCCAGGACCGAGGAAAACUGCUUAUUCUCAAUCUGAAUACGUUUUUAAAACACUUUUACCCAUUUUUAGUAGAAAUACAUUUAUUUUAUGAUACUUUAAAGCUUUUUGUUUUGGAUAAAUUGAGAAGGAUGAAUAGUGAAAUGGAUAUGCCACUUGCAGGACAACUUUGUGAACACAAUACUUAGUCAUUUUUAGAACAGAUGCUUCUCAUUGAAGUAUGAGAAAGUGCUCAUAUGGCAAGGGAAAUCUCUGAAAUGAUGAAACCUCUGUGUAGCCACCACCUACAUCAAGAACCAGAUCAUUGCUAGGAGCCCAGAAGACUCUUUCGUGCCCUUUUCAGUUCCCACCUCCCCCCACGCCCUCAAAAAUAACCAUGGUUUUGCCUUUGAACAGCUGACCCAACUUUGGGUGAAUGGCAUCACACAUUGCAUAUUCUCUUAACUCCAGUGGUUUUCACUUAGUGUUUUGUUUAUGAGAUUUAUCUGUGGUGGGUGUAGCAGCUGCUUGCUAUGUGUUUCCAUGAAACGGGCACAAUAGUCCUUACAGAUAGGGUUCUGCUGGGGAUUGGGUUGGGGAAGGCACAGAAGGCAGGGAGAGGUGGGCUUGCAGACAUGCGGGACGAGCAUGACUGUUCUUCAUUCGAGGGUGCUCAGGAACCCACAAUCCUAACUCAAGCAGACACUGGAAUUUAAGUCUCAGUAUUAAGACUUUUAAGACUCAACCAGAUCCUUCAUGCUCCAACUGGCUCAUCAGGAGGUUUGAAGCAGAUUUUGCCAGCAUGCCCAGAGGACUCUGGGAAGACUUCCAGGAUUCCUGGACCAGGCGAAACCUUCAGAGCCGUCAGGCACCGCUGUGCCUCCUCCUGCUGCUGCCUGGCUGCUGAGAUUGGUGCAUCUGGAUGAAUCUGAUGUGUAUGUUUUCAUUACUUUCCUUCCAGAACCCUUGGUAAAGAAAGUACACAGAGGGAUUCACGAGCACCUGGCCAACUCCAAGGUCCUGGGAGGACAUGAACCAGUGACUUUGAAUGUGAUGCUGAGCCCAGCAGGGAGCCAGUAUGACUCUUUCCAAAUCACAAGUGAGACUCAGAGGCCCCACUGGGCUCCCAUGUGGACUCAAGCCACCGUCUUUGCUUAGAGGACACAGCAGAAAGACUUGGCUCAUUUUCCAGGGGGCAGACUUGGAGAGUUCUGGCAGGUCCAUACAUUUCAACCCCCUCCUCCCAGCACAGCAGGCCUGCUCUUUUAUGUAUCCAAUGGGAAUAUUUUUCAUUAUCUUCCCUCUCAAUUUAAUUAAUCCACAUUCCAUAAUGAACCUUGAAAUUUCAUUAAACACAUCAUUACUAAUCAGCA
Long non-coding RNA from Rhinopithecus roxellana (golden snub-nosed monkey), 4124 nucleotides. RefSeq lists it as uncharacterized. Lineage: Eukaryota; Metazoa; Chordata; Mammalia; Primates; Cercopithecidae. The record is from RefSeq and is a predicted model, not a curated record. The transcript is spliced from 5 exons.